GGACCGCAAAAAAAAUUAAUAAAUAAAAAAAUAAAAAUAAAAUUAUAACUUAACAAAUCACUUAAGGGGCCUCAAAAAAAAUAAUAAUAAUAAUAAAAAAAUCAUUUGAACUGCCAAUCUCCAUUGUCAUAACUCUCGUUCUCAAGAAUCUCAACAGACUCUCAACUCUCAAGCUUACCCGAUUACCCUCUCUCUCUCUCUCUGCUAUGCAAGACUACAGCGGCAACAAUCAAAAGUUUUUUUCCCUCAAAAAUCAAAAGAUCAAAACCCAAAAAAUUGAAAACAUCACAUCAUCAUCGUCUUCACUUGUUCCUCUCUCUCUGUUUCAGAAUCCAGACUUCUAGUUCGCAAAUCGCAGUUCGGAUUUGUAACUUGCAUCGCAUGAUUCGCAUCUGCAUCAAUCCAUCAUCAUCGCUAUGAUCGCCUAAGCACACUCUUCAAAGCAGCCACUUCCAGAGGCCUCAGCUACCAAGUCUUCAUCGCCUCUCUUGCCCUUUGCCUUGUCCUUCUUUUUCCACUGGAAAACUUCGCUUCCUCCAUUCAAUUUCUCUCUCCUUUGGAAAAUCUGCCUCCUUGCCAUUCUUGGGUACUGAUUUUUUAACCAUUUUAUAUAGUCAUUUUGUUUCAUCAAAAACUUACAAUUAUUUAGAUCCAAUAUAUAUAUAUGUACAUGCCGGCUCAAUACAAUAUUUAAUUUUAAUAUGUGUAUAUGCUGAUGUAAUGAGGAUGAGAGAGAGAGAGAGAAAAAAAAAAAAAAAAAAGAAGAUAA
Molecule: long non-coding RNA, 769 nt
Organism: Cornus florida
Lineage: Eukaryota; Viridiplantae; Streptophyta; Magnoliopsida; Cornales; Cornaceae
Exons: 2
Source: RefSeq, a predicted model, not a curated record